ACUACGAUUUCUUCGGAAUGACGGUCUUGUGACUGAGUGGCGGACGGGUGAGUAACGCGUGGGUAACCUACCUCACACAGGGGAAUAACAGUUAGAAAUGACUGCUAAUACCGCAUAAGCGCACGGUACCGCAUGGUACAGUGUGAAAAACUCCGGUGGUGUGAGAUGGACCCGCGUCUGAUUAGCUAGUUGGUGAGGUAACGGCCCACCAAGGCGACGAUCAGUAGCCGGCCUGAGAGGGUGAACGGCCACAUUGGAACUGAGACACGGUCCAAACUCC
Molecule: ribosomal RNA, 280 nt
Filed under: uncultured Lachnospiraceae bacterium
Lineage: Bacteria; Bacillati; Bacillota; Clostridia; Lachnospirales; Lachnospiraceae
Description: partial 16S ribosomal RNA
Rfam family: Bacterial small subunit ribosomal RNA
Source: RNAcentral